UACGUAGGGGGCAAGCGUUGUCCGGAUUUAUUGGGCGUAAAGAGCGUGUAGGCGGCCAGGUAGGUCCGCUGUGAAAACUCGAGGCUUAACCUCGAGAUGUCGGUGGAAACCAUCUGGCUAGAGUCCGGAAGAGGAGAGUGGAAUUCCUGGUGUAGCGGUGAAAUGCGCAGAUAUCAGGAGGAACACCAAUUGCGAAGGCAGCUCGCUGGGACGUUACUGACGCUGAGACGCGAAAGCGUGGGGAGCAAACAGG
Molecule: ribosomal RNA, 253 nt
Filed under: uncultured bacterium
Lineage: Bacteria
Description: partial 16S ribosomal RNA
Rfam family: Bacterial small subunit ribosomal RNA
Source: RNAcentral